Solanum lycopersicum (tomato) is the source of this 572-nucleotide long non-coding RNA. RefSeq lists it as uncharacterized. NCBI's taxonomy places the organism in Eukaryota, Viridiplantae, Streptophyta, Magnoliopsida, Solanales, Solanaceae. The record is from RefSeq and is a predicted model, not a curated record.
UCCGCAUUUAUAGCUGCUUAUUUUCGAAUCUAACAAAUCCAUGUAGCUAUUUAAUUAGAACUAACUAAACAGGAUAGUCUUCCUCUUCUAUCUAACGCAUAAUGUUUAAUACCUUCUUCUCUCUCUACCUUAUGCUUCCAUAUUGUAAUAGAAAUACAGUCAUAAUGUUCUUUGUGAAGAAAUCUCUCUGGUGAAGCUCGUUGGGCUUUCGACAACAAAUUUCUUGGGCAUUGAUAUCUUUUACGUAAGUUGAAGCUCUACUGGUCUUUCGACAACAAAUUCUUGGAUGUAAAGGCGAUGAAACCGAAGAAGGCUAUCAAAGCAGUAAUGAAGACGUAACAUAGAAGCUAAGAUAUUGUCAAUGUUAACUUUACUGAUGUUUGUGUUUCACCUUUUUUUGAAUGGUAAAAAAGUACUUGUAUAUUUUUUUAGAGAAAAGACAUAAAGUGAUAAAAAGACACCUUAACUAUGCAGGUAUUCUAUUACCACCCUAAACAAUUUCGAACAUAUAUUAUUACAUCAUUUUUCGAUCAAUUUCAGACAUUAAAUGACAAGUCUUAUCACACACCAAA